Molecule: ribosomal RNA, 582 nt
Filed under: Taiozyma rabaulensis
Lineage: Eukaryota; Fungi; Ascomycota; Saccharomycetes; Phaffomycetales; Wickerhamomycetaceae
Description: eukaryotic LSU rRNA
Rfam family: Eukaryotic large subunit ribosomal RNA
Source: RNAcentral
AAACCAACAGGGAUUGCCUCAGUAACGGCGAGUGAAGCGGCAAAAGCUCAAAUUUGAAAUCUAGUACCUUCGGUGCUCGAGUUGUAAUUUGAAGAUGGUAACUUUGGAGUUGGCCCUUGUCUAUGUUCCUUGGAACAGGACGUCACAGAGGGUGAGAAUCCCGUCUGACGAGGUGAUCCAACUCUAUGUAAAGUGCUAUCGAAGAGUCGAGUUGUUUGGGAAUGCAGCUCUAAGUGGGUGGUAAAUUCCAUCUAAAGCUAAAUAUUGGCGAGAGACCGAUAGCGAACAAGUACAGUGAUGGAAAGAUGAAAAGAACUUUGAAAAGAGAGUGAAAAAGUACGUGAAAUUGUUGAAAGGGAAGGGUAUUAGAUCAGACUUGGCGUUUUAUGAUUAUCUUCCCUUCUUGGGUUGUGCACUCGUAUUGCGCUGGGCCAGCAUCGAUUCGGAUGGCAGGAUAAUGGCAAUUGAAUGUGGCAUCCACUUCGGUGUAUGUGUUAUAGCUUUUGUUGAUGCUGCCUAUCUGGAUCGAGGACUGCGUCUUUUGACUAGGAUGUUGGCGUAAUGAUCUAAUAUCGCCCGUCU